UUCUGACGUGCAAAUCGAUAAUCUGAUCUGGGUAUAGGGGCGAAAGACUAAUCGAACCAUCUAGUAGCUGGUUCCUUCCGAAGUUUCCCUCAGGAUAGCAAGCGUACAUUUUUAGUUUCAUCCCGUAAAGCGAAUGAUUAGAGGCCUUGGGGCGUAUAUAGCCUCAACCUAUUCUCAAACUUUUAAUGGGUGUGAGUGUUCUUUCUCAAUUGAAGAACGUUGCUAAAUAAGUAUGCUUAGUGGGCCAUUUUUGGUAAGCAGAACUGGCGCUGUGGGUUGUACCAAUUGUUGAGUUAAAGUGCCUAAAGCUGGAAUGCGCAUGAGAUCUAUAAAGGGUGUUAGUUGCUGAAGACAGCAGGACGGUGGCCAUGGAAGUCGGAAUCCGCUAAGGAGUGUGUAACAACUCACCUGCC
Molecule: ribosomal RNA, 413 nt
Filed under: Sarcoptes scabiei
Lineage: Eukaryota; Metazoa; Arthropoda; Arachnida; Sarcoptiformes; Sarcoptidae
Description: partial 28S ribosomal RNA
Rfam family: Eukaryotic large subunit ribosomal RNA
Source: RNAcentral